Molecule: long non-coding RNA, 768 nt
Filed under: Nicotiana tabacum (common tobacco)
Lineage: Eukaryota; Viridiplantae; Streptophyta; Magnoliopsida; Solanales; Solanaceae
Description: long non-coding RNA (NTAB_LNC009059)
Source: RNAcentral
GAUGAUGUCCAUCUCAUUGAAGAAGUAUUAGGCAUGUGCCUAAUAAGAGUUUUCUUUGGUUUGGUAGCCAACCUUGUUGACUUGGUUUGGUUGGUAGCCAACCUUGUUGACUUGGUUUGGUUGGUAGCCAACUUUGUUGAAUUGUGAAAAAUGUGUGUAAAUUGUCAAAUAUUGUAGGCUUUAGAGGGUGAAGCUUUGGCUAUAAAAGGAGAGCUUCAACUCUCAUUUCUUCACACCAACAAAGAGAGAAAGAAAGAGUGAGGUUUCACAGACAAGGUAUAAGAAAAUAGUCUGUGAGGAAAAUAGAGAGUGAGCGAUAUUGUAGUGAGGUGGGAAUAUCAAAAGAGGGUUAUUUCUUUUGAGUGUUGUAGUGGUCUUUGGAGUAUUUACCUCCGACCUACAAAGUGUAAAAUUCCUUACUAUAGUGAUAUCAGUUGCUCCUCUCGGGGUCGUGGUUUUUUUUCCCUUAUUCAGAAGGGUUUUCCACGUAAAAAUCUUGGUGUCAUUGUUACUCUUUUAUUCUUGUUAAUUACCGUAUCUCGGUGCUACAUUAUUAUUCCGCUUUAUUACCGUGAAUAUUAUUUUGGUAAGGGGUUUAUUCCCAACAACUGGUAUCAGAGCACAGGUUCUGCUCGUUCACUGAAAUACUAUUCACUGUCGGUAGUACUAUACUUGGUGAAAAAUAAAAAUGUCCGGAGUAAAGUACGAGGUAGCAAAAUUCAAUGGAGAUAACGGUUUCUCAACAUGGCAAAGAAGGAUGAGAGANNN